This 553-nucleotide ribosomal RNA is filed under the name Salmonella enterica. RNAcentral describes it as "bacterial SSU rRNA". It matches the Rfam family "Bacterial small subunit ribosomal RNA", at positions 69 to 611 of the family's 1533-position model. The record is from RNAcentral. Lineage: Bacteria; Pseudomonadati; Pseudomonadota; Gammaproteobacteria; Enterobacterales; Enterobacteriaceae.
GUAACAGGAAGCAGCUUGCUGCUUUGCUGACGAGUGGCGGACGGGUGAGUAAUGUCUGGGAAACUGCCUGAUGGAGGGGGAUAACUACUGGAAACGGUGGCUAAUACCGCAUAACGUCGCAAGACCAAAGAGGGGGACCUUCGGGCCUCUUGCCAUCAGAUGUGCCCAGAUGGGAUUAGCUUGUUGGUGAGGUAACGGCUCACCAAGGCGACGAUCCCUAGCUGGUCUGAGAGGAUGACCAGCCACACUGGAACUGAGACACGGUCCAGACUCCUACGGGAGGCAGCAGUGGGGAAUAUUGCACAAUGGGCGCAAGCCUGAUGCAGCCAUGCCGCGUGUAUGAAGAAGGCCUUCGGGUUGUAAAGUACUUUCAGCGGGGAGGAAGGUGUUGUGGUUAAUAACCGCAGCAAUUGACGUUACCCGCAGAAGAAGCACCGGCUAACUCCGUGCCAGCAGCCGCGGUAAUACGGAGGGUGCAAGCGUUAAUCGGAAUUACUGGGCGUAAAGCGCACGCAGGCGGUCUGUCAAGUCGGAUGUGAAAUCCCCGGGCUCA